AUUGAACGCUGGCGGCAGGCCUAACACAUGCAAGUCGAGCGGAGCGGCGGACGGGUGAGUAAUGCCUAGGAAUCUGCCUGGUAGUGGGGGAUAACGCCCGGAAACGGGCGCUAAUACCGCAUACUAUCAGAUGAGACUAGGUCGGAUUAGCUAGUGGGGGGGGUAAAGGCUGACAAAGGCGACGAUCCGUAACUGGUCUGAGAGGAGGAUCAGUAACACGGGAACUGAGACACGGUCCAGACGCCUACGGGAGGAAGCAGUAGGGAAUAUUGGACAAUGGGCGAAAGCCGGAUCCAGCCAUGCCGCGAGUGUGAAGAAGUUCUUCGGAUUGUAAAGCACUGUAAGUUGGGAUGCGAUACCAACAGAAUAAGCACCGGCUAACUUCGUGCCAGCAGCCGCGGUAAUUC
This 407-nucleotide ribosomal RNA is filed under the name uncultured bacterium. RNAcentral describes it as "partial 16S ribosomal RNA". It matches the Rfam family "Bacterial small subunit ribosomal RNA", at positions 29 to 526 of the family's 1533-position model. The record is from RNAcentral.